GAUGAAGAACGCAGCGAAAUGCGAUAAGUAAUGUGAAUUGCAGAAUUCAGUGAAUCAUCGAAUCUUUGAACGCACAUUGCGCCCGCUGGUAUUCCGGCGGGCAUGCCUGUUCGAGCGUCAUUUCAACCCUCAAGCUCUCCGGAGUUUGGUGUUGGGGCGCCUGGGGCUUUUCGACCUCAGGGCCCUCAAGUCCAUCGGCGGGACCGCCAGGACACUGAGCGCAGUUGUAUUAUUUCGCUCGGUAGGAUCUUCCACGGCGGGUCGAUCUGGCCGCUAAACCCCCCAAUUCUCACCAAAGGUUGACCUCGGAUCAGGUAGGAAUACCCGCUGAACUUAAGCAUAUCAAUAAGCGGAGGA
This 357-nucleotide unclassified non-coding RNA is filed under the name soil metagenome. RNAcentral's name for it is "partial contains 5.8S ribosomal RNA, internal transcribed spacer 2, and large subunit ribosomal RNA". The stretch from base 1 to 120 matches the Rfam family "5.8S ribosomal RNA", at positions 35 to 154 of the family's 154-position model. The record is from RNAcentral.